This 472-nucleotide ribosomal RNA is filed under the name uncultured bacterium. Its description in RNAcentral is "partial 16S ribosomal RNA". It matches the Rfam family "Bacterial small subunit ribosomal RNA", at positions 355 to 818 of the family's 1533-position model. The record is from RNAcentral.
UGGGGAAUUUUGGACAAUGGGGGCAACCCUGAUCCAGCAAUGCCGCGUGUGUGAAGAAGGCCUUCGGGUUGUAAAGCACUUUUGUCCGGAAAGAAAACGCCGUGGUUAAUACCCGUGGCGGAUGACGGUACCGGAAGAAUAAGCACCGGCUAACUACGUGCCAGCAGCCGCGGUAAUACGUAGGGUGCAAGCGUUAAUCGGAAUUACUGGGCGUAAAGCGUGCGCAGGCGGUCCGCUAAGACAGAUGUGAAAUCCCCGGGCUUAACCUGGGAACUGCAUUUGUGACUGGCGGGCUAGAGUAUGGCAGAGGGGGGUAGAAUUCCACGUGUAGCAGUGAAAUGCGUAGAGAUGUGGAGGAAUACCGAUGGCGAAGGCAGCCCCCUGGGCCAAUACUGACGCUCAUGCACGAAAGCGUGGGGAGCAAACAGGAUUCAGAUACCCUGGUAGUCCACGCCCUAAACGAUGUCAACUA